This 554-nucleotide ribosomal RNA is filed under the name Noviherbaspirillum canariense. RNAcentral's name for it is "bacterial SSU rRNA". It matches the Rfam family "Bacterial small subunit ribosomal RNA", at positions 330 to 879 of the family's 1533-position model. The record is from RNAcentral. Lineage: Bacteria; Pseudomonadati; Pseudomonadota; Betaproteobacteria; Burkholderiales; Oxalobacteraceae.
GGGGGGCCUUACGGGUGGCAGCAGUGGGGAAUUUUGGACAAUGGGGGCAACCCUGAUCCAGCAAUGCCGCGUGAGUGAAGAAGGCCUUCGGGUUGUAAAGCUCUUUUGUCAGGGAAGAAACGCACCGGGUUAAUACCCUGGUGUAAUGACGGUACCUGAAGAAUAAGCACCGGCUAACUACGUGCCAGCAGCCGCGGUAAUACGUAGGGUGCAAGCGUUAAUCGGAAUUACUGGGCGUAAAGCGUGCGCAGGCGGUUGUGCAAGACAGAUGUGAAAUCCCCGGGCUCAACCUGGGAAUUGCAUUUGUGACUGCACGGCUAGAGUGUGUCAGAGGGGGGUAGAAUUCCACGUGUAGCAGUGAAAUGCGUAGAUAUGUGGAGGAAUACCGAUGGCGAAGGCAGCCCCCUGGGAUAACACUGACGCUCAUGCACGAAAGCGUGGGGAGCAAACAGGAUUAGAUACCCUGGUAGUCCACGCCCUAAACGAUGUCAACUAGUUGUCGGGUCUUAAUUGACUUGGUAACGCAGCUAACGCGUGAAGUGACUGCGUGGGAC